Molecule: ribosomal RNA, 254 nt
Filed under: uncultured prokaryote
Description: partial 16S ribosomal RNA
Rfam family: Bacterial small subunit ribosomal RNA
Source: RNAcentral
ACGGGGAGGGCAAGCGUUGUUCGGAAUUACUGGGCGUAAAGAGCUCGUAGGCGGUUUGGCAAGUCGGGUGUGAAAACUCCGGGCUCAACUCGGAGACGCCACUCGAUACUGCCAUGACUCGAGUCCGGUAGGGGAGUGCGGAAUUCCUGGUGUAGCGGUGAAAUGCGUAGAGAUCGGGAAGAACAUCGGUGGCGAAGGCGGCCUGCUGGGCUCUUGCUGACACUGAGGCGCGACAGCGUGGGGAGCAAACAGGA